UACGGAGGGGGCUAGCGUUAUUCGGAAUUACUGGGCGUAAAGCGCGCGUAGGCGGUGUGUUAAGUCGGAUGUGAAAGCCCAGGGCUCAACCUUGGAACUGCAUCCGAUACUGGCACGCUAGAGUGCAGUAGAGGGAGGUGGAAUUUCCGGUGUAGCGGUGAAAUGCGUAGAGAUCGGAAGGAACACCAGUGGCGAAGGCGGCCUCCUGGACUGACACUGACGCUGAGGUGCGAAAGCGUGGGGAGCAAACAGG
Molecule: ribosomal RNA, 253 nt
Filed under: uncultured bacterium
Lineage: Bacteria
Description: partial 16S ribosomal RNA
Rfam family: Bacterial small subunit ribosomal RNA
Source: RNAcentral